AUUGAACGCUGGCGGCAUGCCUUACACAUGCGAGUCGAACGGCAGCGGGGGAGAAGCUUGCUUUUCCUGCCGGCGAGUGGCGAACGGGUGAGUAAUACAUCGGAACGUGCCCUGUAGUGGGGGAUAACUAGUCGAAAGAUUAGCUAAUACCGCAUAUGACCUGAGGGUGAAAGUGGGGGACCGCAAGGCCUCAUGCUAUAGGAGCGGCCGAUGUCUGAUUAGCUAGUUGGUGGGGUAAAGGCCUACCAAGGCGACGAUCAGUAGCUGGUCUGAGAGGACGAUCAGCCACACUGGGACUGAGACACGGCCCAGACUCCUACGGGAGGCAGCAGUGGGGAAUUUUGGACAAUGGGCGAAAGCCUGAUCCAGCAAUGCCGCGUGUGUGAAGAAGGCCUUCGGGUUGUAAAGCACUUUUGUCCGGAAAGAAAUGGCUCUGGUUAAUACCUGGGGUCGAUGACGGUACCGGAAGAAUAAGGACCGGCUAACUACGUGCCAGCCGCCGCAGUAA
RNAcentral lists this ribosomal RNA (508 nucleotides) under uncultured bacterium. Its description in RNAcentral is "partial 16S ribosomal RNA". It matches the Rfam family "Bacterial small subunit ribosomal RNA", at positions 30 to 523 of the family's 1533-position model. The record is from RNAcentral.